Molecule: ribosomal RNA, 720 nt
Filed under: Streptomyces sp. NRC 13S
Lineage: Bacteria; Bacillati; Actinomycetota; Actinomycetes; Kitasatosporales; Streptomycetaceae
Description: bacterial SSU rRNA
Rfam family: Bacterial small subunit ribosomal RNA
Source: RNAcentral
CAGGAGAAACGAUGGCGGCGUACUUAACUCAUGCAAGUCGAGCGAUGAACCACCGUCGAGUGGGGAUGAGUGGUGAACGUAUGAGUAACACGUGUGCAAUAUGCCGUGCACUAUGGGACAAGCCAUGGAAACGGGCUCUAAUACCGGAUGAUAAUCGUCGUGGGCAUUCGCGAGGUUAGAAAGCUCCGUCGCAGCAGGAAGAGCGCGCGGCCUAUCAUCUUCUAGGCGAGGUAAUGUCUCACCAAGGAGACGACGAUUAGCCGCCCUGAGAGGGCGACCGGCCACACUGUGAUUGAGGCGCGACCCAGACUCAUUCGUGAGGCAGCAGUGGGGAUUAGUGCGCAAUGGGCGAAAGCAUGAAGCAGGGACUCCGCGUGAGGGAUGUCGGCCUUCGGGUAGUAACCAUCUUUCAGCAGGGAAGAAGCGAAAGUGACGGUACCUGCAGAAGAAGCCCCGGCUAACUACGUGCCAGCAGCCGCGGUAAUACGUAGGGCGCAAGCGUUGUCCGGAAUUAUUGGGCGUAAAGAGCUCGCAGGCGGCUUGUCAAGUCGGAUGUGAAAGCCCGGGGCUCAACCCCGGGUGGGCCGUCGAAACGGGCAGGCUAGAGUUCGGUAGGGGAGAUCGGAAUUCCAGGUGUAGCGGUGAAAUGCGCAGAUAUCAGGAGGAACACCGGUGGCGAAGGCGGAUCUCUGGUCCGAUACUGACGCUGAGGAGCGAAAG